AACUGUAACUUUGGUUUGAGUUUUAAGCUCUGUUACCAGAAAAGGAUAUGGAAGCUUCCAAAGGCUCCGUCUCAUGGUCAAGGUCAUAAAAAAUGACAUCAAAAUUCUAACAUUACAAAGCAAGUAGUUUGUACUAAGUCUAAACCUGAGCUUUUAUGCAGCUAAUAUAUUUUAAUUUGAAAAUUUGGACUCUGAGAAUGAAUUUUUACCAUUCAGUGAAUAUUCCAUGAAGUAAUCAUUAUUAACCAAUUUUAAGUUAUAUUAGUAUAGAUUCAGAGGAAUCAUGUCUAAUUGAACCACGAAAUUGGUGAAUAUAUAUCAUUUCAAUAAGAGUUCUUCUUAUAAUUGUACUUAUAUGUUAAAAACAUAUGACUUUUUUUUUUUCUCUUCAUACUUUUUAAGAUUAAAUAUUUCCCUACUGGUACAUAAAGUCAACCUACCCAAGUAGUCACAAAUUUCAUGUAUUUGUUUACCCCAACAUAUUUAAUUUUUACACAUAACUGGUCUCUAUUUUUCUGAGAAUAAAAUACUUCAACAUCUACAGAACUUGUAGUCAUUUGAUAGGUAGAUCUAAAGCCACAUAAAAUGCCACAGUAGAGCUAAAAAUUCAGGUAAAAUUUUGUCUAGUAAGAACCUAGACAUAAUGAGACAUAAUCUAAUAAGAAUGUGCAAUUGCAUCUAGUAAGUUUUUUCCUACAUCCUUAUAGGGGUUCCAUAGUAUCAGUAUUUUCUAAAUCACUUUAAAUUAUUUUUAGCUUAUAUUUCAUGACCUACCAAAUGUCUUUUCCAGUAAGAAUCAAUCCCUCUACUGAAAAUGUUGUUUGAUAGAACUGCAUUAGAAAAUAGUAGAUGAGACCACAAAUGUUUGAAAAGGUCUACUAAUUGUCUUACAGCCAUUCAUCUAUUCAGCAUUUAUUAGACACCUACCAGGGCCAUUCCCUGAAACUACAAAAGUAAAAUAUAUAUUCUCUGUCCUCAAGGAAUUUAUACAGAAUCUAGAGAGGGAACUUGGCUCAACAGAGUACAGGACCCAGGGAAAGUGUUGAUAAUUAAUGCUUCUCCCAGUGACUAAAAAAGAUUAAUAAAUACAGGUUUAAGUAGAAAAGUAAAAAAUGAGAACGUUCCUAUAAAGACAAUAGAGUGCUGAAUGAAUUAAGAUAGCCUAAGGAUAAGGCAGAAAUUGGAGUUAUGCUAAUCAAUAAACCAAGAAAAAUCUAGAAGCUGGAAGAGGCAAGGUAGGAUUUUCCCCUGGAUUUCAGAGGAAGCAUGGCCCUACUGUCAUCUUGAUUUUGGAUUGCUGGCCUUCAGAAUCAUGAGAGAAUACUUUUCUGUUUCCAGCUACCAAGUUUGUGGUGAUUUUUUACAAUAGCCCUAGGAAAAUAAUACAGGCAGGGUAUCUGUAUAUGAAUUUCCUGGUCUGGGGACAAAUAGCAAAAACAAAUACACAAACAAAACCAAGCUUCCAAGUUGGGAAAUAACUGUCUCAUCUGUAAUAACAAUUCAACCCACCACACUAUCCUUAGGGCCUCUAUAUUGGCCUGAGUCAGAGCCCCAUCUGUCACUGUCUUGCUGUGUCACUUGGACACAGUCCUCUGAGCUACAAUUUCACUGUCUGUGGAGUAAGUGAGAUGGAGAGAGAAAACAUGAAGGGUUGAAAAGGCAGUAGUACCAAAAUUUGAACAAGAGCCUCAAGAACCACCCACUCCAGUACUUGGGGAUUGCUGGUAAAAAUCUAUACUCAAAAACAUCAAAUGGAGGAUCUUGCAUUAUUGCAGAGACUACGGUGAGUUACAAAGCUUUAUUCUCAUAGGUUUCCUCCUAGGACCUGCUUCCAUCUCCAGACCCUACCCCUCCAUUUUGAUGCUGAACCUCUAGGCCAAAUGGAAUGGGCACCAUCUGCUAUCAAUACAGCCACCACUCUUCCCAGCCAAGAAGAGUCCCAGGCCAAGUUUAUCUUGAGAGCUAACAGGAGGUGACAAGCCUGGCAGGACACAAAUUCUUCCUGCAUGAUUGAUUCAGCCUGGCUGACCAGUUUCAUGCUAAUGAGGAUGUGCCAGAGCUCACAACAAACACAUUU
This 2077-nucleotide long non-coding RNA is filed under the name Sus scrofa (pig). Its description in RNAcentral is "lncRNA (ENSSSCG00015009470.1)". Lineage: Eukaryota; Metazoa; Chordata; Mammalia; Artiodactyla; Suidae. The record is from RNAcentral.